Molecule: ribosomal RNA, 584 nt
Filed under: uncultured bacterium
Lineage: Bacteria
Description: bacterial SSU rRNA
Rfam family: Bacterial small subunit ribosomal RNA
Source: RNAcentral
CCUACGGGAGGCAGCAGUGGGGAAUUUUGGACAAUGGGCGCAAGCCUGAUCCAGCAAUGCCGCGUGAGUGAAGAAGGCCUUCGGGUUGUAAAGCUCUUUUGUCAGGGAAGAAACGGUGGUUCCUAAUACGGACUACUAAUGACGGUACCUGAAGAAUAAGCACCGGCUAACUACGUGCCAGCAGCCGCGGUAAUACGUAGGGUGCAAGCGUUAAUCGGAAUUACUGGGCGUAAAGCGUGCGCAGGCGGUUAUAUAAGUCAGAUGUGAAAUCCCCGGGCUCAACCUGGGAACUGCAUUUGAGACUGUAUGGCUAGAGUGUGUCAGAGGGGGGUAGAAUUCCACGUGUAGCAGUGAAAUGCGUAGAUAUGUGGAGGAAUACCGAUGGCGAAGGCAGCCCCCUGGGAUAACACUGACGCUCAUGCACGAAAGCGUGGGGAGCAAACAGGAUUAGAUACCCUGGUAGUCCACGCCCUAAACGAUGUCUACUAGUUGUCGGGACUUAAUUGUCUUGGUAACGCAGCUAACGCGUGAAGUAGACCGCCUGGGGAUACGGUCGCAAGNUUAAAACUCAAAUGAAUUGACGG